This 497-nucleotide ribosomal RNA is filed under the name uncultured bacterium. RNAcentral describes it as "partial 16S ribosomal RNA". It matches the Rfam family "Bacterial small subunit ribosomal RNA", at positions 28 to 507 of the family's 1533-position model. The record is from RNAcentral.
GAUGAACGCUGGCGGCGUGCCUAAUACAUACAAGUCGAGCGAACAGACGAGGAGCUUGCUCCUCUGACGUUAGCGGCGGACGGGUGAGUAACACGUGGAUAACCUACCUAUAAGACUGGGAUAACUUCGGGAAACCGGAGCUAAUACCGGAUAAUAUAUUGAACCGCAUGGUUCAAUAGUGAAAGACGGUUUUGCUGUCACUUAUAGAUGGAUCCGCGCCGCAUUAGCUAGUUGGUAAGGUAACGGCUUACCAAGGCAACGAUGCGUAGCCGACCUGAGAGGGUGAGCGGCCACACUGGAACUGAGACACGGUCCAGACUUCUACGGGAGGCAGCAGUAGGGAAUCUUCCGCAAUGGGCGAAAGCCUGACGGAGCAACGCCGCGUGAGUGAUGAAGGUCUUCGGAUCGUAAAACUCUGUUAUUAGGGAAGAACAAAUGUGUAAGUAACUAUGCACGUCCUGACGGUACCUAAUCAGAAAGCCACGGCUAACUACGUG